This 5681-nucleotide long non-coding RNA is filed under the name Sus scrofa (pig). Its description in RNAcentral is "lncRNA (ENSSSCG00050031051.1)". The record is from RNAcentral. Lineage: Eukaryota; Metazoa; Chordata; Mammalia; Artiodactyla; Suidae.
ACCUGUUGUAAUUGAUUCGAUCUUCCCAAACAUCUCAAUGUAUUUGAUACCAUCCUCACCUCACUUGGCAAAUGAGAAAAGUGAGACAUAUAAGCAAACUUGACUGAGAACAGAGAUACUGGCAGGAUUCUAACUUCAGACCUUGCAUCUUUGGCCACCAGGCUGUACUGACUGUAUACUUUACAGUUGAUUAGACCUAAGAGCCCUGUGGGCAACAUUCUCUAGAGGACAGAUUCUGAAUAACAGCUUGUAAAGCUAGAAGUCGUAUGCGUCGGUCUAGAAAUGCGUGCCAUAUUCAGUGAUCACAGAGUAGUUGAGAGGUUCAGCACCGAAGGACCAAGGUUUCCUUUGAACAGUGACAUUUAUUUCACCUUUAAAGGUGAACACAUUUCAUAGAAAAUGAAAUUCAAAAAGGCCAUGCUUAGGAAUAUUGAGAAAGAAUUUAAUAUAUUUUUAUAAGGCGUUAUUACCUCACUAUAUAUUCAUAUUUUGAAAAGAAAUUACUGGAGGUACGUAUUAGGAAUCAGCCUUGCUCAGAAAUUUGGUAUUUUGAAGAGUUUCUAAGGAAUACCCACUUACAAAGAGAUUGCUCUUAAUAGAAGAUAUUGGGGGUUUCAAAAAGACUUGUAGCCACUUUUAUUUAAAAAUAUCUACGUACUCUUAUUUACAUCUGUUAGCAAGUAAAUGAGUCUUGCAAAUGAGUGGUCUUAAUUCUUAAUGUUCACGAUGAGGUUUAAAGAGUUCAUUACAGUUGAAGGAAUACUCAUGGAGCACUGUUACAGUUGCUAGGCUUUUUGCUAGAUGCUGAGUUUUUAAAGACAGUUAAACAUAUCUUAAAAGUAACAAUUACUCCUUAACCUUUGAGUUACAGAAGAGGAGAAUUAAUCCUUCAUUCUCUUAAGAGGUUGGGAGAAAACAACUGGGCAGGAACUUGGUCUUGCAGGUUGAAUUGGAGUUUUCCAGGCAGAGUAGGGUGAGGGGGCUGAGUCGUCUGAGGCAGACAAAAAGCCACGUACAAGGGCACGGAGUCAAGCAGCAGCAUGGCUUGUUCAGCAAUCCAUAAAUAGGAAAUAGAAGAUUGCUUGCCAGAUUCUAAGAAUGCAAGCUUCUUGGAGAAAGAAGUGUUUUUAUCAGGCUUCUAGGCUACUCAUGAACUUGAAAAAGUGCCAUGUGAGAAAUAGAAACCCUAUCAUCCCCUCACAUUUUCCCAAGCAGGGCUGGAGUGCUGAGUGGGGGGUGAGCCUCAGAGGGGACAGCUUGGGUAUUUUCAAAGAAACCUUAGCUCCUGGCUCACUCCUUACCGAGAACCCUGCUUCCUUAGCACGUUCACUGAUAUGGAGCUCAGGGCUGAGCUGACAUCUUGUCACCCCAGCAUUGUACAGGGAGCGUGUUGACUCAACCAGCUUCAAGCUCACAGGUGACUUUGGGGUCACCUAUAAAAGAGUUGUGCUAGAGUACAUGGGUCUAAGUGCCUGCUCUGUCACUUAUUAACUAGGUGUUCUCUAAUCAUUUUUAGUUCUUUGCUGUAUCUGGUGCCUGAUUUAUUACAUGGGGAUGAUAAUGUUAUGUACUGCACGGAGUUUUGAGAUUUGAUACAUUCUUACAUGUAAAGUGCUUUUAACACAACCCAGCCUGAAGAAAGCUCUCAAUAUAAAAGGCUUUGUAGUUGAAAAGACCUUCUUGUUUUUGCCUUAGAAUAAUGUGGGCUUUGUUAAGGGGCGACCAAAGUCAUUUGAGGAUUUUUGAGAGAGAAGGUAGAAGGAGAGUCAAUAUUAUAAUUUUUGUAAAAGACAAUGUAUGAAAGUAACAACUGCCUUUGUAAAUGAUACUCAAAACAGGAUGAUUUUCUAGACCAGGGCUUCUGCAUAAAAAUGGAGUCACAGGUGUGGGUGGAAUGCAUCUUAGGAAGAAACAGGCAGAAUACAUGUUAAAAAGGAACAUCAAUAUGCUCUUCAAGAUUAUAAGCCAACAUUGGCGUUGUCGUUGGGGGUGGGAUGCCGUAAGGAAACGAUAAGAAUGGUGAUGAUGGUAAGAAUGAUGUGUAAUCAACAACCACCGUAGAAGGCAUACCUGUAAUUCUUAGCAGAAAUAUCAGGGGAAAGAGAUGAAUAGGAGUGACUCAGAGACUGAAACUGAAUUCAGGUUAUGGCUGGAGAAUAAGGGAAUUCAAAAUUAGCCUAGAGAGGCAAAGCAAUGAUUGGGAUAGCAGCACUGAAACGGAAGUACUGCUUAGAUAGGGUAAUGGCAAGACAGCAGAUAGAAAGAGCAUAUAAACAGGUUUGUGUGUGUAUGUAUAUAUCUCUCUGUCAUAUCAGGUACCAUGUUCAGAGAUUUCCAAUAUCGCUAUUCUGAAGACAAUUUUUAGAACUUAAUAUCAUUAGCCCCAUUUCACAGACGGGGAUACUGAGGCCAAAAACUUAAGCAUCUUGACAACAUGUCCAACACCAUGUAGACAUUGAGCAGUAGAACUGCGGUUGAGACCUAAUGAUGUCUGAAUGUACACCUGAGUCCCGUCAAACUCUAGUAUAUCCAUUCUCUUGUAUUUAUUAAGGAGAUAGGUGUCUGUAUUUAAAAACAAAACAACACCUGUCCAAUUGAAGGUAGAAGCACUAAGAACAACAUUUGGAAAAGAUUAAAGGGGUGAGAGAAAGAAGUGAUAUUACUCCGGUUCUGUAUCACAGAGUGCCAGGUCAGACAGAGGGGGUUUUAUGAUAUUUUUUCGAAGCUUGAGUUACAGAAUUAACAAGGGAGGUGAGACUUCAAAUGUCCAGACCUUGCAGUGAAUUUUGUUUUGGCUCAGAACACCAUGUGGUAAAAUCUAGACUUGCCUGUCGAACAAUUUUAAUCCUUCAAGGGUUAAAAAAAUAACCAAGGAAGCUAGAACACAAAGUUUAACUUCACAAGUGAAGAACAUUCAAAAUUGUUCUGGGAAGUGGCGGAAACCUGGGCAAAAGUCACAUUAUUUCAAAGCUCAGGGAACGAUGAGUUGGUAGUACAGUUUUUAUCUGUGCUUGAGAUGCCGAAUGGCUAAGAAGGUUUCUGUUGAAUAUCGAUUUUGAGACCCAUUAGGGAAUUUAGGUUUCUGGAGGUGUUGGGGUGGCAAGAUGGCUUCAUGUGUACUAAGUCUGCUCUAGCCUCUAAGAGUGAGAGUCCAUCUACAGAAUACAUUUGCAAUAUAUCAAGCUUUUUAUUAGCUAAAAUGUUAAGGUAUUCUGUUCAUAUGACAAGUCAGGGCUUUCCCACUCAAUGCUUAUGCAGUUCAUUUUAAAAAAUCUUAAAUGAAGGAUUUUGUUUGUUUCUACUAAACUCUGAUGUGAGCUGGUACCCACUGCUUCCUCUUGUCAAGAUUUAAUUCAGUGGGUAUGUGUGUAAAGGCCCUGGUGUGCAGAACUCUUGUGCUGAAUGAUGUAGGGAGAUGAUUGAUGCAAGAGUCUCAGGUUGGGGGUUAGCGAUGACUUUAAAAAAAACCAACAAAAACAAAUGUCUGUUAAAAGUUUUCCCUGUUAGAAGAGGGAGAGAAUACAUUCAGUUGUGUGCAGUCAGAAAAGAUAACCAGAUAACCUCUACACUGAGAAGACAAUGGUUACAUUCUGUCUUCCUGCCCUAGAAGCCAAUACAGUGCCAGGUGCACAAUCAAUCGAAAGCGGCACGUAAUAGGUGAUAAACGUUUUGUUAGGGAAACUUAAAAAAUGGGUCUUGAAGGAAAAACAGAUUUUGAUGGUUCAGAAAGGGAUGGAUGGGAAUACAUGGUAGUUGAAGGGCAAAUGUAGGUAAAUACACAGCUCCAAGUCAUAAUGAGCUUUUCGGUAAAGGUGAAUUGGUUAGUUUUUGUGGUAUAUGGGGGUAUAUUUUGGAAACUUCAAUGCUUAACAUAUUUAUAAGUCCAUUAUUUUCAAUAUCUUAUGCCAUUCAAGUCAUUAAAACAAAUAUUGUGAACAGAUCACUGACUUAAAGAUACUCUUAAAUCUUUAGAUUUUCAAUCUGAUAUUUUCAGAUCUAUUUAAAAUACUCACUAUACCACGUGCUUUCACCUGGAAUUGUUUCCCUUCUGCCUUAAAAGCUCCUUUGAGAAUUUCUUCAGUUCAGGUCUCCUGGUGAUAAGAUUCCUCAGAUGGUAUAUAAAGGACUUUAUAUUGUCUCUUUUUUGCAGGGUGUUUUCAUUGGGUACAGAAUUCUUGGAAAUUACUUUCAGUGCAUUAAAAAUAGCAUGUCUGAUAUUGUGUCUUCUGGCUGCCCUGAUUCUUUAGUCUUAUUUUUGCCAUUCAAAAACAGUCUCCUCUGUUAACUCUCUACCUCUGCCAACCUUUCAGCUUUAAUAAUGUUCACUAUGUGUUUCUGCAGUUUUAAGGUUUUGGUUUUUUUGUCUUUGGUUUUCAGCAGUUUUUCUAUAAUGGUCUAGGUAUGAAUUUCCUUGGGUUUACCUAACUCAAUGUGUGGCACUUCUUGAACCUUUGGCUUUGUUGUUGUUUAAAAAUAAAUUUUGGAAAAUUCCAGUCAUUGUCUUCAGAUAAUGCUUUUAGCCCAUUUUCUUCUGUCAUCUGCUAUUCUAAUUACAUGUAUAUUAACUUGGGUUUCAUAUGUUGCCUUUCCAGUUUUUUUCUUGAUGCUUUAAUCUGGAUACUUCCUCUUCACGUAGCAUCCACUUCACUUUAUCCAUUCAGGUAUACAUGGUAAGCUGUUAAACCCAUAUAUUGAAUACUUUCUUACAGUGUUUCUAUUUUAAAUUAGGUCUUUUUGAUUCACUUCACCCUGAAAUUCUUUGGAUGAUUCAUUAAACAUACUAAUCAGUUAUUCUAAAGUCAUCUGAUAACUACAAUGCCUGAAUUUCCUGUGGGUCUGUUUCUAUUGUUUCUUUGCCCUUCUUAAAUUUUUGGUUAGUUCUUAGUUUUAUAAGCGUGACUAUUUUAGAUGAAUGCUGGGCACUGCAUCUUAAAAGCAUAGCGAUGAUACUGAGCUCUGGGUGAUACCUUCUUCUGUUUACUUUUCUUCCUGGAGGUGGGCAGGGUGAAGACAGAACACCUAGAUACAUGUGGGAAUUAAGUUCUUCCAAAGGUAGCCUUGAGUCUGCAUGAGGGCUGCUGGGUUUCUGGUCUAUUAUGUGUACUGCUUUGAUUUAGCCCUUGGGAAUCCCAGCUGAAGGUCUGGGUAGUUACCCGGGCCCCUUUUCCCUAGCUGGCCAUGAACCAGACCAUCUUUGUGACUAGAUUUAGAUCAGGUGGUUUACUCCUGGAUGUUUUUUGAUACCUUGAUACCGUGUUGCUGUAAUUUCAAGUGACAGCUUGCCAUUAAGUUACUAAUUUUUUUUUCCCUGGCCUGAAUAAAAACAUCACAAUGUCUUACGUUUGCAUUUAAAGACACUUUCCAAGUUUUUCUUAAAUCAUUUAAUCAUCUCAAUAGCCGUCUGAUGAUCCGCAUUCCAUUGAAGUUCUUUCUGGAGACUUACCUGCAGUUGUAAUUGGUGAAUACAUGGGCUCUUUAUUCAUUUAUCUCCUGUCUGUGAAAUGAAUAUUGUGAAAAAUGCAGAUGGGAAGAAGAGGGGGGUACUUGAAAGGAAUUGAGAAGAUUGGAAUUUUAAAGGACUUGGAGACCCAUUGAUAAUGGAAUGAGGAGGGAGUGGUCAUUUUGCUGCAUAAACUGAGACAAUGGUGUUUCUCCUGUUAAAAAAAAAAAAAAGAAAAAAA